GAUGAAGAACGUAGCGAAAUGCGAUAAGUAAUGCGAAUUCCAGAAUUCAGUGAGUCAUCGAAUCUUUGAACGCACAUUGCGCCCUGUGGUAUUCCGCAGGGCAUGCCUGUUCGAGCGUCAUUUCAACCCUCAAGCUCUGCUUGGUGUUGGGCCCUGCCCGCUGCGGCCGGCCCUAAAGACAGUGGCGGUGCCGCCUGGCCCUGAGCGUAGUACAUCUCUCGCUCCAGUGCCCGGUGGUAGCCUGCCAGAACCCCAACUCUCGUGGUUGACCUCGGAUCAGGUAGGGAUACCCGCUGAACUUAAGCAUAUCAAUAAGCGGAGGA
Molecule: unclassified non-coding RNA, 323 nt
Filed under: soil metagenome
Description: partial contains 5.8S ribosomal RNA, internal transcribed spacer 2, and large subunit ribosomal RNA
Rfam family: 5.8S ribosomal RNA (bases 1-120)
Source: RNAcentral